Molecule: long non-coding RNA, 367 nt
Organism: Pantherophis guttatus
Lineage: Eukaryota; Metazoa; Chordata; Lepidosauria; Squamata; Colubridae
Source: RefSeq, a predicted model, not a curated record
CUGAUGUUGUCACAUUUCCUCCAUUUCAAACUGACACAUUGCACAGUCACAUUUCUCUCAGGUUUUGUUCCUUCCUAGGAUGGAAGCGUAUUGCUCCUUAAUGGGCGAUCCUCCAAUCCAACCUCAACCAAGAAACUAACCAAGACAGCAGUUUCAGAUCCAACGCAGUGGCAGUCAUAAAUGAGUUACAAACGGAGGCACAAUAAAUAAAUACGAAGAUAUCUAGCUGGAGCCUGCCUAGUUAGAGCUAUUUACAUACAACUCAGACCCAGAAUAAGUUCAUCGAAAUUGCAACGAAAAGGAAUCCAGAUGCUAAAGUCAAAAGAAGUUCACUGUUACUGGAAAAAGGGAAUAAAGAUUUAUGUUC